GAAGCCUGGGGAGGAGAGAUGGGGGAGGAGGCACUGGCCAGGCUCCCAGGAGGCUGCGGGGUGUGGUUUACAUAUAAAACACCCCGAGACCUCUAGUGUUGGGUGAGAUGGCAGUGACUGGGACCCAGGUACUGGACUCGGUGGAGUCUCCAUGGGUGGCUGGACCUGGAAGGGUAUAUCCUGUCCCCACUCCUUGCUCUCCAACCUGACCACCAUGAGGGUCUCCGUAUGUAGCCUGCACUGGCCUGAAAGUCACAGCAAUCCUCCUGCCUCUGCCUCCUAAGUGCUGGGAUAACAGGGCUGCAGCACCACACCUGGCUCUUCCUCUAAAUUGUGGGUAUCCAGUAUUUUGUCCUAUCGAUGUGACAGCUGAUAAAUCCACUGGCCCAUCAGCCAGCGGCAAGAAAAUGGGGGUUCCCAGACCCACUGAGGCCCCCAAGACCUACCUUUGCCUUCAAGAAACUCAUCCACAAAGUCCUCAAAGGAGUUGGGGUCUGGCAGGAAGUUGGCCAAUUUAUGGAAGUGGUAGAAGGAGACGAGCACGUCCUUGGGGUUCCGUGCCAUGUAUAUCACCUUGAGGGGAGACCCGAGACCUCUGACCCAGCUCCUCCCCGAGCUCCCAGCGCUGUCCACAAGCCAAGGCGGGCAAUGCUGGCCCUCGCCUGGCCCACCCACCUUCCGGUACCAAUCUGGGCUUGGAGACAAAGCAGAGGCUCUGGCCAUCCCUGCUGCUGCCUGCAAGUUCCCGCCCACCAUGCCUCAUGCCCAUCACCUUACCCGGGCUUUGGAGCGCAGGACUGCAGGCCCGAGAGCCUCAGCAUUCAGGUGGGAGGUGAGCAGGCGAGGCUGGCCGGGGUCUAGGCUGCCAAGCAUUUUGACGAGGUUGCUCUGCUCCAGCCAGGGCGCACGCUGCCAGUUGGGGAUGUGGUGGAUGGGCCAGAGGUGGCCCUGACAGAAGAUGAGGCUCAGCACCUGCUGCAUCCACGUGGUCCCUGGGUGGGAAGAGGCGGGUGAGGUGUGGGGCUCUGAGUCCCGUGAAGGGGCAGUGUUUCCGGGACCGACCACCUGCUGGCCUGCGCCACCCCUUUGCCUGCAGCUGCUCGGGAUUUCUAGGGACACGGCUUCGGCUUCGUCUACAGCGCUGCCUCUUCCUCCCACCCUUUCCUUUUGUUGCUGUUGUUUUGAUUCUGUUCUGAGUCCUGGCCCAGUUGUUAGCUUUACAACAUCUAUAAGAAGAGAAUAAAGAAAUUCAAGUCCCUACCCCAAAGCCUCACCCUCAGGCCUUUUUGUAUUUUGAGCCAGGAUCUAAAUUGCCCAGGCUGGGCUGGGACUUGCAAUACUCCUGCCUCUACCGAGUAUCCGGGGUUACAGCUGUGUGCUACCACUUCCUGCUUCAACAAACCUCUUUAUGGAGUUAGAUACUGAAGUUGUGAAAAUGCAGAUGCCAGCCAAGGAAAGGACAGGGCUGCAGCCUGGAGCCCCACAGACACAGCAUAGAGCAAAGAAAUGCAGUCAAGGACAUGGAUAGCGACUGACGGUCUUUGGCCAGAGCUGGUAUUAGAUCAAAUUCCAGUGUGCACAAGUAAACUCUGCACAGAAUGCGCUGGGGGAUGUAGGCGCUGCAGCCGUGCGCACACAGGCAGGAAAGAGCAGGCAAAUUCCUGUAUAACCUGCGCAUGGGACCCUGUUUCCAAGUGUCAGCAGCCCCAGGCACAGUUAGAGAAGCUCAGAUUCAAUCGGGGUGACCCUGUCAGUAUGCACAGCAGCUGGAUCCGCGUACUGCAGGUUGAAUCUUGAACCCCGGUGUGCUGCUGGGGGAGGGCACAUUAGGAGAUGGGCUGCUGGCAGUGGUGCCACAUGCUUGUAAUCUUGCCCAUGCUGGAAGCUGAGGCUGGAGGACACAGAUUCCAGGCCAGCUUGAGCAAUAUAACAAGACUGUCUUAAACAAAAAUAUAAAAAGCUCUGAGGAUGCAGCUCAGUGGCAGAGCUGCCGGGGCGCAACGUUUCACGUUACAGAAACAAAGCAAAUAGAAAAGAGAAGAUUGCCCGUUGGCCGGGUUGUGAGGCCCUCAGGACAACAGGACCUCGUUUCUUCCUCCUCGCUUUUCACUCCAGGCUGUGAGGUGAGCAGAUUUGUCUACCGUGUGUGCCCUGCAAAGCAAUGGGCUGGCCCACUGGGACUGGAACCUCCACUGUGAGUCCAAGAGGACUGAUUAGGUAUUUGUGGGACUGCGGCAAAGUGACGGACAUGCUCCUCCCACGUGGAAGCUGGCCCCAGCCCAGAGGACAGGGGACUGGACCUGUGGCUGCGGGAGGAGGCUGGGUGGAAACCGGGUAAGGGUUGUCAUCACAAAUUAGAGACCACAGUGGAGCCACAUCUGACUCAGCAGUAGCCAAGGCCCAGAGCAAUCCCCACAGUGUGCCAGGGAAGAGUCCUGGGACUCGGCCUCUCUUGCCCUCACGGGGACCGUGGCUUCACGGGCCAUUCUCAGGAGCCCUUAGUGGGGCUCCCCCAGGCUCUGUGUCCCCAGAGCUCCACUCCUGUUCUUUGCACAGCAUAAGAUGUGGAUUCUACCCUAAGCCCUGGCUGUACACAGCGGCCAGGACCAUUGCAGUUUGAGUUGCAGCAGUGAAGUUAACAUAAAUUUCUUCUACACAGUUUCAUGGAUAAAAGAUUCAUCCUGAUGGACACAGUGGCACAUUCCUGCAAGCUCAGUUACUCCAGAGACUGAGGCAGGAAGAUUGCAGGUUGAGCCAGUGCAAUUUGGAGAAGCCCUGUCUCAAAAGCUUUAAAAGAGCGGGACGUUCCGCUCAUUGAGAGAGCAUUUGUCUAGUGCGUGGGAGUCCUGGGUUUCACCCCGACCUUCACAAAGCAAAAUAAAACAGAAAAAGAUUCCCUGUAACCAUAAACCUUAGUGACCUUGGAACAUGACUGUAUUUAGAACUUGCACCUUUGCCCUGAAGGAAGCGCUCAGAACUUCGUGCCUCAUGCUGGCUGCCAGCAUCGAGAUCUCAGGCUUUGCUGCUAAGAGAAACAAAGGUUUCUUGUCACAAGCCUGAGACCGAGAGGCUUGGGGUUGGCAACAGCAUGUGCUGUGUGCAGUGGGGAGACUGGGACAGCAUGAGAUUUAUGGCAUGCAACUGACAACUAAUGAAGUGUUUCUGGGGUUUCCCUUUGGUUUUAGACCCUAAAAAAAAAAACCACAGUAAACUGGGCUGUGUGCCGUGCAGGUGCACUGUAUGAAAGGGAGGGGGGUUCUCGCAGAGGGCCCCCUACAGAGGCCGUGGAAUCAAGUGCAAAAGCGAGGCGCUGCUGCCAGGGAGGGCUGAGGUUCACGUGGCCCUGUGCUGUCAGUGUAUCUCAGUCAUCAUGUGACACAGGUGCCCGGUUGUGGAGCAGGAGCUGGAGCCGGCUGUGUCUGUCCCAUGUGCCCAGCAGCGGGGCUCAGGUGGGGGACUCAGGAUAGAGCUCCACUGCCUCUGACAGGCACAGGCACAGGCACGGGACUCCCAGCAGCUCCAAGAACAGUGCCUGCUUCAGCCCCGUCGGGAGGAAGAGAGAGGAAGGUGGCAGGCUGGACCCAAACACCGAGCCUGGGAGCUGGUGACACGGGCAGCUCCUCCGCCUCCAUAGAGCUGGCUCCAAAUAAACCCAUUCUCCUAUUCACCUAGAAAGUGGCCUGAGCCAUUUCUAAAGGAAUGACAUGACGGCAAUCCCAGCCCCACUGCCCAGUGAACUCACAGCAAUACGCUGGCCCAGCCAUGGCCUUCCCCCACCAAGCUCCACACCCAACCCUUUUUAAAAUUUUUAUUUUCACACAGGGUCUCACUAAGUCACUGAGUUGUCCAGGCUAGGCUACAAAUUGUGGUUCUCCUGCCUCAGCCUCCCAGAGUACAGGGAUUAUAAAUAUGCCUCUCCCCUCCCCUCUGUCUGUGUCUCUCUCGGUGUUUUUUCUCGUCUUGGGGGAAGCCGAGGCCUUCACAUUCACACUGAACUACAUUCCAGUGUUUAUUUAUCCUUUUGAGACCGGGUCUUGCUAAGCUGCCCACUUUAGGCUUGAGCUUGCAGCCUUCCUGCCUGAUCCCCUGCAUAGCUGGGAUGACUGACCUGCGCUGCUAUGCCCAGCAUGGCCUGCUCUCCAUGGCUGCUCCCUCCAGAGCUAAACUGUCUCCAGGCUGCUGCAUGUGCCAGCCUCCCCCUGCCCCUGCCCUGCCAGCCACAGCCUAUUCUGACCAGGCCCCCAGGUGCCUGUCCUCCCGGGAUGACCUCACAGGGUUAUCCCUGAGGAGGAAGUGUUUAUGGAGGCACAGCUCUUGUGCUCAGACAGUCAUCAUGGGGCAGGAGAAAGGCUGUCUGUCUGCAGGGCCCCUGAACCCUCAUCAACACCCCCCCCCAGGCCCUCAGUGCCUUCCUGCAAACACAAACAUCACCCAUGACCCCAGGGGUCCAGGGUGAGGACCCUGCCCAGAUCAAGGGUGUGCGUCUGACACAGCUGGGCCACCCUUGGGGUUGGCUGGAUCUCCUAGCCCAGGCCAGGGCUGGCGGAGCAGCGGUGGGGUACCCAGCUCUCACCUGACUUGGGGAACGUCACCAGCAGGAUGUCCUUGUCCUGGAACAGGAAACUGCAUGCCGCACGCAGAGACUCUUGGGUAUGUAUGAACCCUGGGAAGCGGAUGCCAUUGAAGACCUCAACAGUGUCCAUGCUGGUGACAGAGAAGAGAGAGCUCACUGGCUGGACCACGAGUCUGGAGUCCUGUCACUAAAGCUGACAUGGGUCAUCCUGGGUGGCCCCUGGCCUCUAUCCUGGGUACCCUUAGAGCCUAUCGCAGGGAGCCUGGUCAGCCUUGACUGUGGCUGAGACAGGUCGGGCCCCUUGCCCUCAGAGCAGUGGUGCUGCGUGGUGGCCCUGUGUCCUCCUCGUGGUCCCCAAGCUAUCCCUGCUCCUGCAUCAUGUUCUGGACAUCAACCUGCUGCUGGAGCUGUGUUACUGUCACAGCUCCCUGUGGGCAGGGCUGGAGUGCCUGUCUCACCUGGAAACCCAUGGCACGGUGGCCGUGAUGGCAGCUGCAGUAACUGUCUGCCGAGGCCCAGGUGCCCAGCAGAGACCCCUGCUGCACACCCCAUAGCUGCCCAUACUCACCCUCAGCCCGCACCUGCCUGCUCUGCGCUCAGCCCAGCAAAGGGAGAUGUGGCUGCACCCUGGGCAGUUAGUUCCAGGCAGUUAGUUCUGAGGAAACUCCACCCCAGGAUCCCAGGAUGGGACAGGAGCGGGCCUGUGGGGACGGGGGCGUGGCCCUGAGCCUUGGCCACCAGAGUGCAGGUGUCCAUGAGCAGUGCUGAGCUCUACUUGCUGGGUGAAAGGGGGUGGCACGGCCACCUGGGGUGGGGAUGGUGAUAAGGAAAUGUCACCUGUCCCAUGGCUCUGUGUCAGAGAAGCUGGCUGCACCUCUGCCGCCAGGGAGCCAGGGUUCUCAGGUAACGCAGUGACAUAUUUGUGGUAACCCCCACACUGCACAGUGAGCCUGGCCCUCCUCCCUGCCCACAGCCCUGUGCCCUCCUCACACACCUGCCCCAGCCUCCCUCCCCAGCCAAGUCCAACUCUCCCAGGCCAGAGCAGUGCCAGGCAGGAUGGAGUUUCCAAAAUGUGGUUGUAGUAACAGCUUGGAGAGGGCCGCGUGCUGGGCGCCUGAGCUCCUGUCCUGGGAAACCAGAUGCCCCACUGGGUGGGAGUCACUGCACUGGACAGCUCGGCUCCUCCUGUGGGUUACAGUAGCCGAGCUUCCUUCCCAGGGGAGACCAGACCAGAGAGGCCAGGCCUCUGUCAACGUGCAGGUACGGUCACAUGGGAAACACGGGGUUAAUGUGACCCAGGCUGCCUGGCCUCACAGCCCUUAGGGACACCAAAACAGCAGACUAAGGGAGGGACGUGGUUGGGUUUUGGGAAGACCCCGCCUAUUCCCAGAAAAGCCAUGAACGUCCCUCCCCCUCACUAGCUUCUCCCCAGCAUGCAGAGGCCUAUGCCGGCCUGUGGUGUCCCACUGAGCUGCACCCCAGCUCUGUAAGAAUUUUGCCCAGUGGGCUUUGAAUUUGAAACCCUCUUGCUUCAGCUUCCCCUCCCUGAUUAUUCUGUGACUCCUCAGACUUCUGGAUGGACACACUGAUUCUGAGCUGGGCUCCAGGUUUCCUUUUUUCUUUCCUUUACCUUCUUCUUCUUCUUUCUUCUUCCUCCUCCUCCUCCUCCUCUUCCUCCUCCUUCUUCAGACAAAAUGUCACUGUGCAGUUCAGGCUGGUCUUGAACUCAGUAUAUAACCGGACUGGCCUCAAACCCAGGACGCUCUUCCUGCCUCAGCCUCCCGAGUGCUGGGAUUACAGGUGAGGCCACCACGCCCAGCCCUCAGGCUUCCCUUUCUGUGGUCUCUGUGCUGUUUUGUCUCUCUGGUAACUGGCCCAUUACCUUUGUGUCACCUCUUGGAUUAACUUUUGAAAGUUCCUGUUGUUAUUUUGGCUAACAUGUAAAUAUUAUUUCAUGAUGACCUCUGAUCCUUUUUGAAUAUUUAAACUUUCUGACAUCCUUGACAAAUUCCAUAAGUAGAUUUCUUGCAACACUGGGGAGGCUGAGACAAGAGGUGAAUGUGAGAACUUCAAGGUGAGACCCUCUCUAAAAAACCCUAAUGAGUAGUAAGUAAAUAAUUAAUAAAUAAGUUUCUUGGCCUGACCUUAAACUGUCCUUGAAGCUUCUCAGCUGUCCCUGGAAAUCCUCAAAGGAUUUGUGCUCUUACCCGGCUACAAGAAAGCUGUUACAAAGUACCUAGGUUUAUGGGAGAUUAAAUUUCAGGGAGCCAGGCGUGUUGCUCCCCUCUGCACUCCCAGAGGCAGAGGCAGGAGGACUGGAAUUCUGAGCCCAGCCUGGGCAGCUCAGUGAACCAGCAGGACCAGACUCAAAGUAAAAAACAACAAAAGGCUGGGAUGGGGCUCAGGGCCAGGGCCUGGGCUCCACCCGGACACCACGGGAGAUCCCAGCUCGGGAAAGAGAGCUGGUCAGGAGAACUUGGCGGACGUGAUCUCACUGUGCUACCAAGGAUGCUCUUGAACUCUUGGCCUCAAGAAAGCUUCUGGCUUUAGCCUCCCUUGUAGCUGGAAUGACCCCCUCAAUCCCGUGCCACUGCACCUGGCUUCUAAAUUGCUCUCAUCAGCUACAGUCCAGACUUCGACAGAAAGGAUGCUCCAGGAAGCCCCAGCAGGGCAUCUGACAGUCUGGCUUAAGCGACUGUGAGAUCACACUUCCAGACUGAGUCCGGACUCCCAAGCCCAAUUAGGAAGGCCGGUGGGUUCGGGAGAGGCUGCUGCAGAGAGCAGCACAAAACCGACUCUCUGGCUGGGCGGACUGGUAAAGUGCAGUCACGACUUGCAUGAGGUUAUCAAAAUUGGCUCUCUGAUGUUCUAUUUUCUGCACAUAAAAAACUCUUCCCCUUUCUUCUGAAGCUAUCGAUGAUUUGUAAAUAUCUUGCAAAUUAUCCUUUUGUUAACCAGAUAUUUAUUUUUGCCCUUGCCUGGUACACCUUGAAAUUGAAAACUGUUAUCAAAAGCUCUUAAAGCUCUUUUCUCCGUGGCAGUACAGUUAUUUGCAGUUUCAAUAAGCAACUGUCCUCCUCGGUUUUGAUGACAAUGUCAUUUAAAAGUGAGGCACAGCCUCGCAUACUGGCACAUGCCAUUCAGGGGGUUAAGGCAGCAGGAUUGCUGGAGCCCAGGAAUUCAAGAUCAGGCCAGCCUGAUGACAAAGUGAGCGUACAGUCAGACCUGACCGCAUGGUGAGCAGGAAGUAAUGCCAACCUCACAGAGCACGUGCUGCCAACUCUUUCCCAGAAGGGUUGGCCCUGCCCCCAGCUCCUGCCACAGAGGGAUGCAGGCUGCCUUCUCUUCUUUCCGGUCCAGAACGUUUCUGGGGACCUCAGGGAAACCUGCAGUUACUGAAGCAAAGUCCAGUGAGGAACUCCUGGCACAGCUCCCUGGUCCUCAGUGCCUUCAAAGCCCCGUCCAAGAGUGUGUCCAGAAACCCUUCUACAAGACUGUUAUCACCCUGCUGUGCCUACAUAAACAAUCGGGUCAGAUGCAAGGAGACCAGGUUGUCUCACUGACUUCCACAAACUCCGAAGAGCAUGCCCCAGGGAGGAUGACUGCUUGUAGACCUCGGUUUGUGGACAUCCAGAUGCAGAAGAUGGAGCUGGGCACUUUUCCUAGAGGAAAUCAGAGGAGAACAAUUCAUGGCCUUGAUCUUGGCUUUGAUGUUAAAGCCAUGAUGCCGCAAACAGGCAACUUGCAUGCUGGGCCACAGCCGAGGGCACCUGGGCCAGCUGGGCCAGGAGCAGUGGUAAGGCCCUUGGCAGACCUGACUGGCAACUGGGGUAUUCACUCCUGCCUUCCAGUCAGUGCGGAGACUCCAGUGCCCGAGGAGCCACAUGCUGCCUGCUCACGGCUACAGCGUGGCAUACACCACUGCUGUGUCCCUGCCACAUCCCAGCCAGCAGGAGGACACAGGAGCCUGAGGCCCUGACAAAGGACGGUGCUGUGGUGGGCAGUGCAGGCGACCCUGGGACCAGUACUGCCUUAGAAAUGGAGUGGGGGGGGGCUGGGGAUUUAGCUCAGCGGCAUAAGCGCCUGCCUUGCAAGCAGGCAGUCAUGAGUUCGAUCCCUGGUACAAAAAAAAACAAAAAACAAAAAACGGAGUGGAGAUCGUGUUCCCAGCUGAGCCACCUGGGAGGACCUCCUGGAUGAGGACAGAUGUCCAUGUCUGUGAUGCUGUCCCCCUCCACCCUGCAUAGGUGCUAUGGACACGGCGUUGGACAAGAGUGGUACAGAUCCUGCCUUGAGAGCUGACUGCAGAGGUGAGGGACGAGGGCACAAAGAAGGGCAGCACGACUGGGGCAGGAAGGGGGCAGGCUUGGGGUUUGCAGCAGCUCACAGAGGUCUGAGUGGGGUUGUGGCCACAGACGGCGAGUCAGGGCUCAGCAGGGGGUGAGCAGAGGGAGGGACUAUGAUGUCCAGCCUCAGUGGUCUCCAGACUCUGGGUUCGGGAGGGCCCAGCCACGGGGCUGAGGCUGCUUCAGAAUGCGUGGACAGCAGGGUGGCUGCCUGGAAGUGGCUGGGACCCUUACAGGUACACAGGAGGUGGAGAGGAGGCUCUGGUGCUCUCAGGGCCCUGACUGCAGGUCCUGUGGAGACCAGGGCCGGCCUGGGAGGGUCCUCCCAGGUGAGGGGCCCAGAGGCAGCUGAGGAGGGGUACUGAUUCCACCAGGACAGGGGCAUCACAGAUGUAGAGCCGACAAAUGGAUGCAUGGCCAAACAGACAGACAGCUGAGCUUGAGAGGAGGGGGAAGUUUCAGGGCAAGGAUGGGAUGCAGAGGGAGGGUACGGUACCUGGCCUCAGUGUAGUUUUUGCCCUUCUGAGGGCAGAGUGGCAGCACAUUCACCUUGCAAAUUCUCCCACCCGGGGAACUGGGAACGCCUGCUUUCCGAGAUUUCUCUCCCUCUUAAACCACUUUUGCCAUUAAACAAGUGCAGAUGCCAGAGCUGACCCAGGUGCCUCUCUGCUGGCCUGAGUCCCCUCUGGGCAAAAGGAGGAUCAGAGCCUCAUGUUGCAAACCUCCCCUGGUGGGGGCAGGGAAGCAAGCAUUAGGACAGGGGCAGGAGAGGGGGUCACCUUGCUUGAAGGCAGCAGUGGUGGGGACUUGGGGCCACAGAGUGAGGCAGACUGGAGGUGGCCGCGUCUGUGAGCCACAGGAGACCAGCAGUGCAAGCUCUGACUCCUCAAAGCCAGUGCAGGGCCCGAGAGCGGAGCCCACAGUGGCUGCUGCUCCCUCUGGAACCUCGUUCAGGUCCAUGCAGGAUGGAGGCCAGGCCCACAGGAAACAGUGACUCUAGUAGGCUUCUUCCUAGACUUCUGCUGGAACCAGAAGGGAGCUACAGCCCUGCACGCAAGGUCGGAUCAGCCGUUGGUUCUGCAAAUAAAGGGCCGUGAGCUGGUACUGAGCUGCCCACAAACAGGUGCAGACGCAGAGUGUGACCAACUCUGAAGCACACGAGGUCCCAUGCUUGCGUCGCCUGCGUUUCGAAGCUGUGUGCUUCUACUCCAUGCUGCAUGAGCCCUGGUUCCCUCUCGGUUCCUGGUUUUGUUCUCCUGAGAGAGCUCAGGGCAGCAGGUGCCCGUGUCUCCUGCUGGUGUCUGACCUGAGCACUUCCCUUUACCUGCUGGCCCUGAUACCCCUCUUCCAGGAGACACCUGUGGGGCUGCCCUGAGCUGGCUGCCUGGGGAAAGGCAUGGCCUUCGGGCCUUCUCUGUCUGCUGCCUGUCCUCAGCCGACCCAACUCCAACCCCGACUUUCCAAUUUCCUGAGACAAAUCAGCCCAAGGCCUUCAGACCCAAGGGACAAGAGCCAAGUUCUGCAAAGACUCAGCCUGAUUGUCUAGGUUUGUUUUAUUUAUUUAUUUCUGAUUGUCCUUACUUUUCAAGAGCACACCUGGGGGAGCCAGGGAUUUAGCUCAGUGGUAUAAGCAUCUGCUUGGUGAGCGUGACAUCAUGAUACCAAACACACAAAAAACAAGAUUGCACCUGGGUGACUGAGACAGGAAAUGGAUGCAUCCUCCCGGAAGCCUGUGUUUCUCCUGACUCAGUUCCUAGCUCGUGAUGUUUUGCAGGACUUGUCAGGACCAUCACUCAAGUGCCCUAGCAUAUAGCCUAGUCCAUGUACCUUGUGAUGCCUGGCUUCUCUCACUUCUGUUGUGCGUGACAUCUGUCCCUGCUGUCACACUAGCAACUGCCACUUGGUGACCAGUCACGCACAUCAGUGUUCCUCUGUUGUCACCGUGACAGCAGCACUGAGAUGGAAUUCCUGGACUGACUGUCCCCACCCCAGAGUCCUGUGUAGAAAUCCUGAUCCCAGUGCGGUGGCUGUCAGAGUUGGAGUCUUGGGGAGGUCACCAGGUUAGAGUUCCCCAGAGGACAGCAAGACUUGCUCUCCACCAUGGGAGGAGACAAGGAAAGGGCAGCGGUCAGCAGGCAGGAAGUGUACCCCGCCCAGCAAGCACCCUUCCUGCACAUGCUCCUGAGAGCAGCAGCAGCAGCAGGUAGGAGAGAACAGGGCAGUGCUGUGGGCCAUGCCUCGUGGUCACCAGUGACCAGGAAAGCCCCACAUCCACAGCACAGGUGGGUGGCGAGUGGGGCAGGGGAACGGGCCUUGCAUGUGACUGCAGCAGCAGGGCGCAUGGACCACGAUUUGGUUUCCGAUCAGCUUCUGUGUACCUUGGUUGUUUCCAGUCUUCUUCGUUGCCCAGUGCUGGGGCUGGAACCGGGGUGAUGCCCCAGCCCAUUUCCACUUCUGGGCAACAAUGUAUCACACUGUGUGAACAUCUGUGUACACCUAUCUGUGUGGAUUUGCACAUGUGUCUUAGUACUUUUCAGUACACAUGCUAUAGCACCCGAGGCUGAUGCAGAAGGAUCACCUCAAAUUCAAGGUCACCCUGGGCUAAAGAGUGAGUUCAAGGUCUGCCUGAACUACAAGACCCUAUAUCGAUAAAUAAAUAAAAUGUACAAUAAAAAGAACAAGGAA
Long non-coding RNA from Cavia porcellus (domestic guinea pig), 11604 nucleotides. RefSeq lists it as uncharacterized. The transcript has 3 exons. The record is from RefSeq and is a predicted model, not a curated record. NCBI's taxonomy places the organism in Eukaryota, Metazoa, Chordata, Mammalia, Rodentia, Caviidae.